RNAcentral lists this ribosomal RNA (301 nucleotides) under uncultured bacterium. RNAcentral describes it as "partial 16S ribosomal RNA". It matches the Rfam family "Bacterial small subunit ribosomal RNA", at positions 509 to 807 of the family's 1533-position model. The record is from RNAcentral.
CAGUAGCCACGGGAAUACGAAGGGUGCAAGCGUUAAUCGGAAUUACUGGGCGUAAAGCGCGCGUAGGCGGUUACUCAAGUCAGAGGUGAAAGCCCGGGGCUCAACCCCGGAACUGCCUUUGAAACUAGGUGACUAGAAUCUUGGAGAGGUCAGUGGAAUUCCGAGUGUAGAGGUGAAAUUCGUAGAUAUUCGGAAGAACACCAAUGGCGAAGGCGACUGACUGGACAAGUAUUGACGCUGAGGUGCGAAAGCGUGGGGAGCAAACAGGAUUAGAUACCCCAGUAGUCCAUGUCUCUUAUAC